RNAcentral lists this transfer RNA (72 nucleotides) under Ovis aries (sheep). It matches the Rfam family "tRNA". Rfam says of the family: Transfer RNA (tRNA) molecules are approximately 80 nucleotides in length. Their secondary structure includes four short double-helical elements and three loops (D, anti-codon, and T loops). Further hydrogen bonds mediate the characteristic L-shaped molecular structure. tRNAs have two regions of fundamental functional importance: the anti-codon, which is responsible for specific mRNA codon recognition, and the 3' end, to which the tRNAs corresponding amino acid is attached (by aminoacyl-tRNA synthetases). tRNAs cope with the degeneracy of the genetic code in two manners: having more than one tRNA (with a specific anti-codon) for a particular amino acid; and 'wobble' base-pairing, i.e. permitting non-standard base-pairing at the 3rd anti-codon position. The record is from Rfam by way of RNAcentral. Lineage: Eukaryota; Metazoa; Chordata; Mammalia; Artiodactyla; Bovidae.
UCCCUGGUGGCUAAGUUGUUAAAGACUCUGCCUGCAAUGCAGGAGACCCAGGUUCAAUCCCUGGGUGGGGAA